Molecule: long non-coding RNA, 612 nt
Organism: Ornithodoros turicata
Lineage: Eukaryota; Metazoa; Arthropoda; Arachnida; Ixodida; Argasidae
Exons: 3
Source: RefSeq, a predicted model, not a curated record
CCAGUGCGUGGGGAGAACGCGUUGAGACCCUUUCGUACCGUUAACCUGACAAGAAAUGUUUGUGGCUUUGCAUUCGUCAUCGCUAGCAUACUUAAAUGUAGCUGCACUGCGAUGUUGCGUUGCUGUUUUAUAACCAUUGCAAGGUACGUUUCGAGAGCGGGAGCCGUGCCUCAUCUUUCGUAUACUGCCUGGGAUUGGAGUACACACGCAAGACACCAGCAUAUAUGGACAGAUGUCGAAUUGCAUUCCUCGGGGAGGGAGUCCGAUAACAUCACACUGACAGGGACGACCGGCAGCGGCUCCUCAGAAGAGCCGCCAGUGAUGAGAUCCCGACGCCGCUCAGGAGAGAGGGCGAGAGACUGAUGAGGAGAGGCUCGCCCUGCUAUAUCCUAAAGCCCCCGCACACACAGAAAAACUACAGCGCUGCAUGGCACGGACACGGCGUGGUUGUGCCCAAGGGUAUACUGUUUCGUUCGUGUGUAAUUGUAAAGUACUGUAUACAUGGUCAAUGUUUCACCCCACUGAACAAAUUGCUGAACGUGUUGAUUACAAACGAAAGGAAGGAAGGAACGCGCGAAACAAAAGCGUGCACACAAUGAACAUUGAAGUACA